GGGUUAAGGUUAUGGUUAGGUGAAGGGGUUAGUUAAAAGGGUUAAGGUUAUGGUUAGGUGAAGGGGUUAGUUAAAAGGGUUAAGGUUAUGGUUAGGUGAAGGGGUUAGUUUAAAGGGUUAAGGUUAUGGUUAGGUGAAGGGGUUAGUUAAAAGGGUUAAGGUUAUGGUUAGGUGAAGGGGUUAGUUAAAAGGGUUAAGGUUAUGGUUAGGUGAAGGGGUUAGUUAAAAGGGUUAAGGUUAUGGUUAGGUGAAGGGGUUAGUUAAAAGGGUUAAGGUUAUGGUUAGGUGAAGGGGUUAGUUAAAAUGGUUAAGGUUAUGGUUAGGUGAAGGGGUUAGUUUAAAGUGUUAUGGUUAGGUGAAGGGGUUAGUUAAAAGGGUUAAGGUUAUGGUUAGGUGAAGGGGUUAGUUUAAAGGGUUAAGGUUAGGUGAAGGGGUUAGUUUAAAGUGUUAUGGUUAGGUGAAGG
Molecule: long non-coding RNA, 464 nt
Organism: Oncorhynchus keta (chum salmon)
Lineage: Eukaryota; Metazoa; Chordata; Actinopteri; Salmoniformes; Salmonidae
Exons: 4
Source: RefSeq, a predicted model, not a curated record